Molecule: ribosomal RNA, 465 nt
Filed under: Vreelandella stevensii
Lineage: Bacteria; Pseudomonadati; Pseudomonadota; Gammaproteobacteria; Oceanospirillales; Halomonadaceae
Description: partial 16S ribosomal RNA
Rfam family: Bacterial small subunit ribosomal RNA
Source: RNAcentral
CCUACGGGAGGCUGCAGUGGGGAAUAUUGGACAAUGGGGGCAACCCUGAUCCAGCCAUGCCGCGUGUGUGAAGAAGGCCCUCGGGUUGUAAAGCACUUUCAGUGAGGAAGAACGCCUGGUGGUUAAUACCCAUCAGGAAAGACAUCACUCACAGAAGAAGCACCGGCUAACUCCGUGCCAGCAGCCGCGGUAAUACGGAGGGUGCGAGCGUUAAUCGGAAUUACUGGGCGUAAAGCGCGCGUAGGUGGCUUGAUAAGCCGGUUGUGAAAGCCCCGGGCUCAACCUGGGAACGGCAUCCGGAACUGUCAAGCUAGAGUGCAGGAGAGGAAGGUAGAAUUCCCGGUGUAGCGGUGAAAUGCGUAGAGAUCGGGAGGAAUACCAGUGGCGAAGGCGGCCUUCUGGACCGACACUGACACUGAGGUGCGAAAGCGUGGGUAGCAAACAGGAUUAGAUACCCUUGUAGUC